UGAAACUGCGAAUGGCUCAUUAUAUAAGUUAUCGUUUAUUUGAUAGUGCCUAUCCUACACGGAUAACAGUGGUAAUUCUAGAGCUAAUACGUGCCAAAAGCCCCGACUUCGGGAGGGGCGUGCUUGUCAGAAUCAGAACCAAUGCCCCCCGGGGCUCCCUGGUGGAUCAUGACAAUCCUACUGAGCGCAUGGCCUCGCGCCGGCGCCGGCUCAUUCAAAUUUCUUCCCUAUCAACUUUCGACGGUACGGUCUUGGCCUACCGUGGUUACAACGGGUAACGGAGGGUUAGGGCUCGACCCCGGAGAGGGGGCCUGAGAGACGGCCACCACAUCCAAGGAAGGCAGCAGCCGCGCAAAUUAUCCAAUCCCGACACGGGGAGAUAGUGACAAUAAAUACCGAUACAGGGCUCUUUUGGGCCCCGUAAUUGGAAUGAGUACAAUUUAAACCUCUUAACGAGGAACAAUUGGAGGGCAAGUCUGGUGCCAGCAGCCGCGGUAAUUCCAGCUCCAAUAGCGUAUAUUAAAGUUGUUGUGGUUAAAAAGCUCGUAGUCGAACCUCGGGCUCGGCCGGCCGGUCCGCCUCACCGCGUGCACUGGUCCGGCCGGGUCCUUCCCUCUGCGGAGCCGCAUGCCCUUCGCUGGGCGUGCCGGGGAAGCAGGACUUUUACUUUGAAAAAAUUAGAGUGCUCAAGGCAGGCCGAUGCUCGGAUACAUUAGCAUGGAAUAAUGGAAUAGGACGUUGGUUCUAUUUUGUUGGUUUCUAGGACCGCCGUAAUGAUCAAUAGGGACGGUCGGGGGCGUCAGUAUUCAGCCGCGAGAGGUGAAAUUCUUAGACCGGCUGAAGACUAACUACUGCGAAAGCAUUCGCCAAGGACGUUUUCGCUGAUCAGGAACGAAAGUUAGGGGAUCGAAGACGAUCAGAUACCGUCGUAGUCUUAACCAUAAACGGUGCCGACUUGGGAUCGGGCGCUGCUGAACUUACGGCGCGCUCGGCACCAUUCGAGAAAUCAAAGU
This 1013-nucleotide ribosomal RNA is filed under the name Savoryella appendiculata. Its description in RNAcentral is "SSU rRNA". It matches the Rfam family "Eukaryotic small subunit ribosomal RNA", at positions 82 to 1104 of the family's 1831-position model. The record is from RNAcentral. Lineage: Eukaryota; Fungi; Ascomycota; Sordariomycetes; Savoryellales; Savoryellaceae.